Molecule: ribosomal RNA, 872 nt
Filed under: Cortinarius polaris
Lineage: Eukaryota; Fungi; Basidiomycota; Agaricomycetes; Agaricales; Cortinariaceae
Description: eukaryotic LSU rRNA
Rfam family: Eukaryotic large subunit ribosomal RNA
Source: RNAcentral
GUAACUGCGAGUGAAGCGGGAAAAGCUCAAAUUUAAAAUCUGGCAGUCUUUGGCUGUCCGAGUUGUAAUCUAGAGAAGUGUUAUCCGCGCUGGACCGUGUACAAGUCUCCUGGAAUGGAGCGUCAUAGAGGGUGAGAAUCCCGUCUUUGACACGGACUACCAGGGCUUUGUGAUGCGCUCUCAAAGAGUCGAGUUGUUUGGGAAUGCAGCUCAAAAUGGGUGGUAAAUUCCAUCUAAAGCUAAAUAUUGGCGAGAGACCGAUAGCGAACAAGUACCGUGAGGGAAAGAUGAAAAGAACUUUGGAAAGAGAGUUAAACAGUACGUGAAAUUGCUGAAAGGGAAACGCUUGAAGUCAGUCGCGUCGUCCAGGGAUCAGCCUUGCUUUUGCUUGGUGCACUUUCUGGUUGACGGGUCAGCAUCAAUUUUGACCAUUGGAAAAAGGUUGAGGGAAUGUGACAUCCUUGGAUGUGUUAUAGCCCUUGAUUGCAUACGAUGGUUGGGAUUGAGGAACUCAGCACGCCGCAAGGCCGGGUUUUUAACCACGUACGUGCUUAGGAUGUUGGCAUAAUGGCUUUAAUCGACCCGUCUUGAAACACGGACCAAGGAGUCUAACAUGCCUGCGAGUGUUUGGGUGGAAAACCCGAGCGCGUAAUGAAAGUGAAAGUUGAGAUCCCUGUCGUGGGGAGCAUCGACGCCCGGACCAGACCUUUUGUGACGGUUCCGCGGUAGAGCAUGUAUGUUGGGACCCGAAAGAUGGUGAACUAUGCCUGAAUAGGGUGAAGCCAGAGGAAACUCUGGUGGAGGCUCGUAGCGAUUCUGACGUGCAAAUCGAUCGUCAAAUUUGGGUAUAGGGGCGAAAGACUAAUCGAACC